This is a small nucleolar RNA of Zerene cesonia (dogface butterfly), 200 nucleotides long. RefSeq annotates it as small nucleolar RNA U3. The transcript has a single exon. Lineage: Eukaryota; Metazoa; Arthropoda; Insecta; Lepidoptera; Pieridae. The record is from RefSeq and is a predicted model, not a curated record.
AAGACCUUACUUCAUAGGAUCAUUUCUAUAGUAAGCUCUUCACGAGAACGCUUACAUUACGUAGGAUCAGACCAGCCAUGAGGAUGAGACGUGGCGUGGUACCCUGAGCGUGAGGUGGGCGGUGACGGUGUCACCAGCCCUCGAUGAUCGUUCACCCUCUGCUUGCAGUGGGCGUGGGGUACUGUCGCUGUCUGAGUGGC